CUACUUACUUGGCAGGGGAGAUACCAUAAUCACAAACGUAGUGUUCCCAGGACAAGUUUAUCCACUGUACUCUGAAUGUGCUGACCUCUGUGAUUUCCCCAAAUGUAGGAAGCUCGACUGCGUAAUUGUGUUAGUGGGGGACUGCAUUCAUGCUGUCGCCUG
This is a small nuclear RNA of Octodon degus (degu), 162 nucleotides long. Its record names the gene U1. It matches the Rfam family "U1 spliceosomal RNA". Rfam says of the family: U1 is a small nuclear RNA (snRNA) component of the spliceosome (involved in pre-mRNA splicing). Its 5' end forms complementary base pairs with the 5' splice junction, thus defining the 5' donor site of an intron. There are significant differences in sequence and secondary structure between metazoan and yeast U1 snRNAs, the latter being much longer (568 nucleotides as compared to 164 nucleotides in human). NCBI's taxonomy places the organism in Eukaryota, Metazoa, Chordata, Mammalia, Rodentia, Octodontidae. The record is from Ensembl.